UAUCUGGUUGAUCCUGCCAGUAGUCAUAUGCUUGUCUCAAAGAUUAAGCCAUGCAUGUCUAAGUAUAAGCACUUGUACUGUGAAACUGCGAAUGGCUCAUUAAAUCAGUUAUCGUUUAUUUGAUUGUACCUUUACUACUUGGAUAACCGUGGUAAUUCUAGAGCUAAUACAUGCGAAAAGUCCCGACUUCUGGAAGGGAUGUAUUUAUUAGAUUCAAAACCAAUGCGGGUUCUGCCCGGUCAUUUGGUGAUUCAUAGUAACUGUUCGAAUCGCAGGGCCUCGCGCCGGCGAUGUUUCAUUCAAAUUUCUGCCCUAUCAACUGUCGAUGGUAAGGUGUUGGCUUACCAUGGUUACAACGGGUGACGGAGAAUUAGGGUUCGAUUCCGGAGAGGGAGCCUGAGAAACGGCUACCACAUCCAA
This 420-nucleotide non-coding RNA is filed under the name Nematostella vectensis (starlet sea anemone). RNAcentral describes it as "Eukaryotic small subunit ribosomal RNA". It matches the Rfam family "Eukaryotic small subunit ribosomal RNA", at positions 1 to 419 of the family's 1831-position model. The record is from Rfam by way of RNAcentral. Lineage: Eukaryota; Metazoa; Cnidaria; Anthozoa; Actiniaria; Edwardsiidae.